UAGGAGCAACACGAGGUAACAUCGAUCUUCAGAAGAUCGACAGAAAGAAAAACCUAGCCAAUCUAGUUACUAAAGAUCUCAAAGUCAAGAAGUUCGAUGAUCACAAGUCGAAGAUAGAUAUACGAUACUGUACCGAUUGGCUUUAGUGUUGAAAAAUAUAAGUAAUUUCAUGCAUGUAUUUCAAAAAUUUUUGAAUAAAUUAUAGCAA
Molecule: long non-coding RNA, 208 nt
Filed under: Elaeis guineensis (African oil palm)
Lineage: Eukaryota; Viridiplantae; Streptophyta; Magnoliopsida; Arecales; Arecaceae
Description: long non-coding RNA (EGUI_LNC045370)
Source: RNAcentral